GGAUGGACCUAUGGCGCAUUAGCUAGUUGGCGGGGCAACGGCCCACCAAGGCAACGAUGCGUAGCCGGCCUGAGAGGGCGGACGGCCACAUUGGGACUGAGACACGGCCCAGACUCCUACGGGAGGCAGCAGUGAGGAGUAUUGGUCAAUGGGCGAGAGCCUGAACCAGCCAAGUAGCGUGCAGGAAGACGGCCCUAUGGGUUGUAAACUGCUUUUAUAAGGGAAUAAAGUGAGUCUCGUGAGACUUUUUGCAUGUACCUUAUGAAUAAGGACCGGCUAAUUCCGUGCCAGCAGCCGCGGUAAUACGGAAGGUCCGGGCGUUAUCCGGAUUUAUUGGGUUUAAAGGGAGCGUAGGCCGGAGAUUAAGCGUGUUGUGAAAUGUAGACGCUCAACGUCUGCACUGCAGCGCGAACUGGUUUCCUUGAGUACGCACAAAGUGGGCGGAAUUCGUGGUGUAGCGGUGAAAUGCUUAGAUAUCACGAAGAACACCGAUUGCGAAGGCAGCUCACUGGAGCGCAACUGACGCUGAAGCUCGAAAGUGCGGGUAUCGAACAGGAUUAGAUACCCUGGUAGUCCGCACGGUAAACGAUGGAUGCCCGCUGUUGGUCUGAAUAGGUCAGCGGCCAAGCGAAAGCAUUAAGCAUCCCACCUGGGGAGUACGCCGGCAACGGUGAAACUCAAAGGAAUUGACGGGGGCCCGCACAAGCGGAGGAACAUGUGGUUUAAUUCGAUGAUACGCGAGGAACCUUACCCGGGCUUGAAUUGCAGAGGAAGGAUUUGGAGACAAUGACGCCCUUCGGGGCCUCUGUGAAGGUGCUGCAUGGUUGUCGUCAGCUCGUGCCGUGAGGUGUCGGCUUAAGUGCCAUAACGAGCGCAACCCCUCUCCUUAGUUGCCAUCAGGUGAAGCUGGGCACUCUGGGGACACUGCCACCGUAAGGUGUGAGGAAGGUGGGGAUGACGUCAAAUCAGCACGGCCCUUACGUCCGGGGCUACACACGUGUUACAAUGGCAGGUACAGAGAGAUGGUGUUCUGCAAAGCGCAUCUAAUCCUUAAAGCCUGUCUCAGUUCGGACUGGGGUCUGCAACUCGACUACAUGAAGCUGGAAUCGCUAGUAAUCGCAGAUCAGAAUGCUGCGGUGAAUACGUUCCCGGGUCUUGUACUCACCGCCCGUCAAG
This 1176-nucleotide ribosomal RNA is filed under the name uncultured bacterium. Its description in RNAcentral is "bacterial SSU rRNA". It matches the Rfam family "Bacterial small subunit ribosomal RNA", at positions 223 to 1401 of the family's 1533-position model. The record is from RNAcentral.